This 327-nucleotide ribosomal RNA is filed under the name uncultured eukaryote. Its description in RNAcentral is "partial 18S ribosomal RNA". It matches the Rfam family "Eukaryotic small subunit ribosomal RNA", at positions 1470 to 1796 of the family's 1831-position model. The record is from RNAcentral.
CCCCUAGAUGUUCUGGGCCGCACGCGCGCUACACUGAACAGUUCAACAAGUCUUAACCUUGGCCGAUAGGUCUGGGUAAUCUUUGAACGCUGUUCGUGAUUGGGAUAGACCUUUGCAAUUAUGGGUCUUCAACGAGGAAUUCCUAGUAAACGCAAGUCAUCAGCUUGCGUUGAUUACGUCCCUGCCCUUUGUACACACCGCCCGUCGCUCCUACCGAUUGAAUGGUCCGGUGAAGCGCUCGGACCGCGGCCUCUUGACGGUUUUCCGUCGAUUGGCUGUGGGAAGUUCGUUAAACCUUAUCAUUUAGAGGAAGGAGAAGUCGUAACA